Molecule: long non-coding RNA, 255 nt
Filed under: Phoenix dactylifera (date palm)
Lineage: Eukaryota; Viridiplantae; Streptophyta; Magnoliopsida; Arecales; Arecaceae
Description: long non-coding RNA (PDAC_LNC001156)
Source: RNAcentral
GAAUUGGGGCUUAAUUAAAAAUGCGGAAAUUCAAUUUGUGCUUAAUCUAAAAGUGUUAGUUAACGAUAUGAAGACAAUGAGACAAUGAAAAAGCAAAGCACAAAGGCACAGGAUUUAUAGCGGUUCGGAGCUACCCUUGCUCCUACGUCCACUCCCCAAGUUCCACUUGAGAUUUUCACUAUAAUCCUAGAAUUACAGCACGGUUGUUUUACAAGCUCACAACCUAACUUGUUGUUUUUACGAGAUCACAACGAA